GACGAACGCUGGCGGCGUGCUUAACACAUGCAAGUCGAACGGUAAGGCCCUUCGGGGUACACGAGUGGCGAACGGGUGAGUAACACGUGGGUGAUCUGCCCUGCACUUCGGGAUAAGCCUGGGAAACUGGGUCUAAUACCGGAUAGGACCACUGCCUGCAUGGGUGGUGGGGGAAAGCUUUUGCGGUGUGGGAUGGGCCCGCGGCCUAUCAGCUUGUUGGUGGGGUGAUGGCCUACCAAGGCGACGACGGGUAGCCGGCCUGAGAGGGGGACCGGCCACACUGGGACUGAGAUACGGCCCAGACUCCGACGGGAGGCAGCAGUGGGGAAUAUUGCACAAUGGGCGCAAGCCUGAUGCAGCGACGCCGCGUGAGGGAUGACGGCCUUCGGGUUGUAAACCUCUUUCAGCACCGACGAAGCGCAAGUGACGGUAGGUGCAGAAGAAGGACCGGCCAACUACGUGCCAGCCGCCGCAGUAA
RNAcentral lists this ribosomal RNA (478 nucleotides) under uncultured bacterium. Its description in RNAcentral is "partial 16S ribosomal RNA". It matches the Rfam family "Bacterial small subunit ribosomal RNA", at positions 28 to 523 of the family's 1533-position model. The record is from RNAcentral.